UUUAUUCAGAAGACAAAAUGGAGCCACAUGUGGCUAUUAGGUGGGUCUAAAGCCGGGACUAUAUAAACUAAAUAAAAAAUGAGCCACCUCAGUGCAGGCUUUCCACCAGGAAGAUCCAGUCAGGGCCACAGCUGGCUCUCGGUACCAAAAAGCCACGGGCACGCACUAUGGAGACCCUAAUUAAUGCCUUCCCAGCUCCUGAGCCCUUGACCAGGCCCCUUUUUAUGCCGCCUCUUACUCCUUGGACUGGCAUCAGCGUGCACCUAGCCCCCAGUGUUCUCUAGGACUGAAUGGCACCCCACUUUGGCUCAUUUCUCCUGACUCUUUGAGUAACCACCUCCUUUCUCAGUGCUGGGCUCCAGAUUCCCGCUUCUACCCCGGCCACCCGGCCGGCACCCUGAGGAGACCGUGCCUGACACCCUGCCUGACACCGCGAAGGACGACUGGACAAGUCCUGGGGGUCAAACUUGGGACCUUGCACUCGCAACGCAGGCAACAGAACCACUGAGCUGAAUCCCCGCCUCCUUCCUCACUCCUGCCGUUCCCCUGCCCUGCUUUCUGACGCCAAGCUUUGCCUCACCUGCCAGCAGAUGUUUCUCCCCGGAGCCAGCUGACCAUGGACCGAAUCUCCUGAAACCAUGACCCAAACUAAAUCCCUGAAGUCGUGGGUAUCAGAUGCUGUCUCUGAGAAAGCUGAAAAUAGUCUCACUACGAACACUGAAAUUUGGACUCAGGCUUCCCUUGCAUUUUAUGGUGAACAGCCCAACAGGGCUCGGGCCCAAGCAUCGCCGGGCUCAACCAGCCUCUGCCAGGAACUGUCGGUGUUGAGGUUUCUGUUGAACUGAUCGGAGCUAUUCAAGGAGUCACUGCUCGAGGUACUCACUCAACAAGUAUUUGUGAGUCCUACUAUGUGUGGGGUGUGUGCCGGGGCUGGCGACACGGGGACAAACAAGACUUGGCCUUCAGGGGCUCAGUUUGAGGAGAGGUUGCCCAAUACCCAAAGGCCACGUGGGAAGUGUGGCACCGCAGAUUACCAGGGCGAGCUGGGGUGGGGACCUCAGAGGGCAUGGGAAAGAGCAGAGGCAAGCAGCAGCCCAGCUCCAGUCCUCAUAAGAAAGCCAGCAGGACAUCCAGGAGUGGUUCCCUGUGCUAGGCGCUCCUACCUUUGAGCCUGAAGUAAGCCUCUGCCUCUAGGGAGGCGUGACCUGCAAUCCAGGAAGAGGGACACCCGUUCUUGCUUGGUAUAACCUCCCUUGAAGAGUCUCUAGGGCCACAUAUCAAGGCAGAAAGCUCCUCGUCUCCUCCACGUUCAUGACCAAAAAUCUCUGAGCUGAGGAUGACGGUCCCUUCCUGUGCCAGCCUCGGUGGGGAGGACGCGGGUCUUGGUGGCCACAUCCCUCCCCAUGCGCUCACGCCCGCCCCUCCCCGGUGAAGCCAUCCGACCCGCUCCCUCCGGCAGGCUUCCUCCCCUCCUCUCAAGGUGUCCACGGCACUCCUGGACUCACUCCAAACCCUCCUCGUCCCUCCUCAAAGACAAAACCCAGAGCUGGACUGGGAAGCGGGGGUGUGGGGCCAAAGACUUUCUGUCCCUGUUCCUACAAUCCCUUAAGGCCUCCACAGCAGGUUAAAUGAAUCUUUUUACGUGACAACCAGGAGAGACCCUGGGAUGACAGCACCGAGGGGAAGAGGCGGAGGAGGGUAAAAUACAGUUCCUUCAGGUUUAAUUAGGGAUACCCGGCCCCCAUGGUUACCAACAUUACCAUUCCUGGCUCCACUACCUCUCUGUGAACACUGAAAAGUGCUUUGGGGCU
Fukomys damarensis (Damara mole-rat) is the source of this 1811-nucleotide long non-coding RNA. RefSeq lists it as uncharacterized. NCBI's taxonomy places the organism in Eukaryota, Metazoa, Chordata, Mammalia, Rodentia, Bathyergidae. The transcript has 3 exons. The record is from RefSeq and is a predicted model, not a curated record.